GGGGAGAGCGCCGGAUCUUGGGCUGUGUCCCCCCGUGCCCUUGGCUAUGGGGCUUGUACAGCUGGAAUCGUGCUCCCAGGCCACAGGGGCUCCUC
Molecule: microRNA precursor, 95 nt
Filed under: Canis lupus familiaris (dog)
Lineage: Eukaryota; Metazoa; Chordata; Mammalia; Carnivora; Canidae
Description: mir-8799 microRNA precursor family
Source: Rfam by way of RNAcentral